AAAAACAUGGCCUUUUGAUUUUAAUUUAAGGUCUAACCUGCCCAAUGAUUUUAUUUAAUGGCCGCGGUAUUUUGACCGUGCAAAGGUAGCAUAAUCAUUAGUUUUUUAAUUGAAAGCUGGAAUGAAGGGUUGAAUGAGAAAAUAACUGUUUUUUUUAUAAUUUAUUAAAAUUUUAUUUUUAAGUUAAAAAGCUUAAAUUUUAUUUAAAGACGAGAAGACCCUUUAGAGUUUUAUAAAAAUUAUUUUUUUCUUAUUUUUAGUAUUAAUAAAAUGAAAAAUUUAUUUUUAUUUGGUUGGGGUGAUUAAAAAAUUUAAAAAACUUUUUUUUAUUUAGUACAUUUAUUUAUGAAUAUUUGAUCCAUAUAUUAUGAUUAAAAGAAAAAAUUACCUAAGGGAUAACAGCGUUAUUUUUUUUAAGAGUUCAAAUCGAAAAAAAAGAUUGCGACCUCGAUGUUGGAUUAAAAUUAAAUUAUGGUGUAGAGGCU
RNAcentral lists this ribosomal RNA (485 nucleotides) under Meligethes planiusculus. RNAcentral's name for it is "partial 16S ribosomal RNA". The record is from RNAcentral. Lineage: Eukaryota; Metazoa; Arthropoda; Insecta; Coleoptera; Nitidulidae.